RNAcentral lists this ribosomal RNA (400 nucleotides) under uncultured bacterium. RNAcentral describes it as "bacterial SSU rRNA". It matches the Rfam family "Bacterial small subunit ribosomal RNA", at positions 355 to 772 of the family's 1533-position model. The record is from RNAcentral.
UGGGGAAUAUUGGGCAAUGGGCGCAAGCCUGACCCAGCUAUGCCGCGUGAGUGAUGAAGGCCUUAGGGUUGUAAAGCUCUUUCACCCAUGAAGAUAAUGACUGUAGUGGGAGAAGAAGCCCCGGCUAACUUCGUGCCAGCAGCCGCGGUAAUACGAAGGGGGCUAGCGUUGUUCGGAAUUACUGGGCGUAAAGCGCAUGUAGGCGGAAUAUUAAGUCCGAGGUUAAAUCCUACAGCUUAACUGUAGAAUUGCCUCGGAUACUGACUUUCUAGAGUACGGAAGGGGCGAGUGGAAUUGCUAGUGUAGAGGUGAAAUUCGUAGAUAUUAGCAAGAACACCAGUGGCGAAGGCGGCUCGCUGGUCCGUUACUGACGCUGAGGUGCGAAAGCGUGGGGAGCAAA